GAAUAUGCUUGAGUCCUAACCCCGGUAUCUGUGAACGUGACUCUAUUUGGAAACAGGGUCUUUGCGGAUGUGAUUAUCUAAGAUGAGUCGUGCUUACCGAGGGGCCGGCCCUGAACCCAGUGACAGGUGUCCUUAGAAGAAGGGGGGAAAUUUGGACACAGACACAGAGGAGAGGCUGUGUGAGGAGGAAGGCAGGGAUUGGAGCGAUGCAGCCAGGCGCCUCUGGAGGGAGCAGGCUCCGCUGACUCCUUGAUUUUGGACUAUAGUUCUCCAGGAUUGCAGGACCCUCAGUGUUGGCUGUUAGAGCCACCUGGUUUGUGGAACCUAUUGAUAGCAGCCCUGGGACACUAAUGCCACAGCUGUGACCAGGCUCUAGGAGAAUUGCCGCCCCAGAAGCGGAAAUGAUGCCCCGGGUGUUGGUGUUGCCUCUGCACCUCCCUGCUCCCCGAAGGAGCUUGUGCUCAGAUCUCCUGCAGGGGCCCCGCUGACAAGGCUGCCUGCAGCGUGCAGAGGCCCAGCAGCGUGGUGACCAGUUCCAGGAUGGACAGAGAUGGAGGGUGGAGAUGUUGCAGGGGCCACAGGUGUUGGGAAAGCAUGGACAGGCCUGAGCCACAGGCACUGGCUUUGGGUCCUGGCCUCAGGGCUCUGUGACCCUGGGGCAAGCUCCGACGGACUCGGUGGUACAGAAAAGAACCAUGGUGACGGUUCUCGUAGAGUCUCUGGGCUCUGGGCCACAGCAGUGCCGUGACGAGGGGGCUGGGCACUGAACUUCGGUCAGAAGUGGCAGAACACCUGCGCUGCAUGGGGAUGUGAGACGGGCAGAAGGAAGCUGUGGGCAAACCUUGCUGGGGAUCUCAAACUACAGGACGCCUCUGCAUUGGCCAUGCCUGUGACGGCGGCCCCCUUCCUGCCUAAGGCUGUGCAGCCAGGAGCCCAGGUGGGACUGCUUUAGUUCCCUAGGGCCACUGCAACAAAUAACCACACACUGUUGGCUUGAACCUUGAUCCUCUCAUAGUCCUGGAGGACAGGAGUUCCAACUCAAGGCCAGGUGCAGUGGCUCACACCUGUAAUCCCAGCAUUUUGGGAGGCCGAGGCAGGUGGAUCACUUGAGACCAGGAGUUCCAGACCUGCCUGGGCAACAUGGUGAAACCCAGUCUCUGCUAAAAAUAUAAAAAUUAGUCGGGUGUGGUGGUGCGCGCCUGUAGUCCCAGCUGCUCAGGAGGUUGAGGCAGGAGAAUUGCUUGAACCCAGGAGGUGGAGGUUGCUGUGAGCCGAAACCACGCCACUGCCCUCCAGCCUAGGCAACAGAGCGAGAGUGUCUCAAAAAAAAAAAAAAAAAA
This 1340-nucleotide long non-coding RNA is filed under the name Macaca fascicularis (crab-eating macaque). RNAcentral describes it as "lncRNA (ENSMFAG00000062793.1)". Lineage: Eukaryota; Metazoa; Chordata; Mammalia; Primates; Cercopithecidae. The record is from RNAcentral.